GUACACUCCUGCGGGAGGCAGCAGUGGGGAAUAUUGGACAAUGGGCGCAAGCCUGAUCCAGCCAUGCCGCGUGAGUGAUGAAGGCCCUAGGGUUGUAAAGCUCUUUCACCGGUGAAGAUAAUGACGGUAACCGGAGAAGAAGCCCCGGCUAACUUCGUGCCAGCAGCCGCGGUAAUACGAAGGGGGCUAGCGUUGUUCGGAUUUACUGGGCGUAAAGCGCACGUAGGCGGACUAUUAAGUCAGGGGUGAAAUCCCGGGGCUCAACCCCGGAACUGCCUUUGAUACUGGUAGUCUUGAGUUCGGGAGAGGUGAGUGGAGUUCCGAGUGUAGAGGUGAAAUUCGCAGAUAUUAGGAGGAACACCAGUGGCGAAGGCGGCUCACUGGCUCGAUACUGACGCUGAGGUGCGAAAGCGUGGGGAGCAAACAGGAUUAGAAACCCCUGUAGUCCCAUGA
Molecule: ribosomal RNA, 453 nt
Filed under: uncultured organism
Description: partial 16S ribosomal RNA
Rfam family: Bacterial small subunit ribosomal RNA
Source: RNAcentral